Molecule: ribosomal RNA, 842 nt
Filed under: Geobacillus stearothermophilus
Lineage: Bacteria; Bacillati; Bacillota; Bacilli; Caryophanales; Anoxybacillaceae
Description: bacterial SSU rRNA
Rfam family: Bacterial small subunit ribosomal RNA
Source: RNAcentral
ACACAAUGUCGGAAUUCGGCUCUCUCAGACCGGGAUAACUCCGGGAAACCGGAGCUAAUACCGGAUAACACCGAAGACCGCAUGGUCUUCGGUUGAAAGGCGGCCUUUGGGCUGUCACUUGCGGAUGGGCCCGCGGCGCAUUAGCUAGUUGGUGAGGUAACGGCUCACCAAGGCGACGAUGCGUAGCCGGCCUGAGAGGGUGACCGGCCACACUGGGACUGAGACACGGCCCAGACUCCUACGGGAGGCAGCAGUAGGGAAUCUUCCGCAAUGGGCGAAAGCCUGACGGAGCGACGCCGCGUGAGCGAAGAAGGCCUUCGGGUCGUAAAGCUCUGUUGUGAGGGACGAAGGAGCGCCGUUCGAAGAGGGCGGCGCGGUGACGGUACCUCACGAGAAAGCCCCGGCUAACUACGUGCCAGCAGCCGCGGUAAUACGUAGGGGGCGAGCGUUGUCCGGAAUUAUUGGCGUAAGCGCGCGCAGGCGGUCUCUUAAGUCUGAUGUGAAAGCCACGGCUCAACCGUGAGGGUCAUUGAAACUGGGGGACUUGAGGCAGGAGAGGAGAGCGGAAUUCACGUGUAGCGGUGAAUGGCGUAGAGAUGUGGAGGAACACCAGUGGCGAGGCGCUCCUCUGGCCUGACCUGACGCUGAGGCGCGAAAGCGUGGGGGAGCAAACAGGAUAAGAUACCCUGGUAGUCCCGCCCGUAACGGAUGAGUGCUAGUGUUUAAAGGUUCACACCCUUUAUGUGCGGCGCUAACGCGAUAAGCACUCCCGCUGGGAGAUACCGGCCGCUAGGCUGAAACUCAAAGAAUUGAGCGGGGGCCCCGCACACACGCGUGUGACC